UACGUAGGGGGCUAGCGUUGUCCGGAUUUAUUGGGCGUAAAGAGCGUGUAGGCGGCCAGGUAGGUCCGUUGUGAAAACUCGAGGCUCAACCUCGAGACGCCGGUGGAAACCGUAAAGCUAGAGUCCGGAAGAGGAGAGUGGAAUUCCUGGUGUAGCGGUGAAAUGCGCAGAUAUCAGGAAGAACACCCGUGGCGAAGGCGGCUCUCUGGGACGGUACUGACGCUGAGACGCGAAAGCGUGGGGAGCGAACAGG
RNAcentral lists this ribosomal RNA (253 nucleotides) under uncultured bacterium. RNAcentral's name for it is "partial 16S ribosomal RNA". It matches the Rfam family "Bacterial small subunit ribosomal RNA", at positions 524 to 776 of the family's 1533-position model. The record is from RNAcentral.